Mauremys reevesii (Reeves's turtle) is the source of this 300-nucleotide long non-coding RNA. RefSeq lists it as uncharacterized. The record is from RefSeq and is a predicted model, not a curated record. The transcript has 3 exons. NCBI's taxonomy places the organism in Eukaryota, Metazoa, Chordata, Testudines, Geoemydidae.
ACUUUGGCUGUUUGCAAAAUUCGGAAGCAGAUCUGAAUUUCAAUGUGAGCCCAGGAUCCACAUGGUGGCUGGGAGAGCAGUGAGUGAGUGGAUGGGCUGCUGUUCCAGCAGAAGUGCCAGUGGAAUACGCACUUUGUCCCCAUCUGGCACUGUAGACGUUACCUGGAAAAGGUGUAGAGAUGGAAAAAUCCUUGAGAAAGUUAUUGCAGAAGGAAUGGUGGAGGGUCAUUAUGGUAGCAGAUGACCAGCAAGGAGACAGAUGGAUGGCAUACAACAGAUCAUUGGAAGGUCAGUUACUGA